This 298-nucleotide long non-coding RNA is filed under the name Elaeis guineensis (African oil palm). RNAcentral describes it as "long non-coding RNA (EGUI_LNC042980)". Lineage: Eukaryota; Viridiplantae; Streptophyta; Magnoliopsida; Arecales; Arecaceae. The record is from RNAcentral.
CCCAACAUCAGUCAUAUGAAUAAAUCGAUCGAUCCGAGUCUGAUGUGAAAUCCCAAUGAAAAACUUUUUUUCAUUAUUUCACUCUACCAUGGUGAUGGGCUUAAGGACUCCAUCUUUUGAUCAUUAUAGGACUACUCUUCUCAUCUAUCGAGGUUGAUAGAUCCCGUCUUGGUGCAAUCUGGUUCCUACAAUGAAUAUGCUACAACCAACAUACAUCUUAGGGUUUCGAAUGGCUAGGAGAUCGAGUUAUAGUGUAGUCAAACUAUAACAGACUCAAGGUGAACUGUCGAUGCACCUC